This 329-nucleotide unclassified non-coding RNA is filed under the name soil metagenome. RNAcentral's name for it is "partial contains 5.8S ribosomal RNA, internal transcribed spacer 2, and large subunit ribosomal RNA". The stretch from base 1 to 120 matches the Rfam family "5.8S ribosomal RNA", at positions 35 to 154 of the family's 154-position model. The record is from RNAcentral.
GAUGAAGAACGUAGCGAAAUGCGAUAAGUAAUGUGAAUUGCAGAAUUCAGUGAAUCAUUGAAUCUUUGAACGCACAUUGCGCCCCCUGGUAUUCCGGGGGGCAUGCCUGUCCGAGCGUCAUUACAACCCUCAAGCUCAGCUUGGUAUUGGGCCCCGCCGACCCGGCGGGCCCUAAAGUCAGUGGCGGUGCCGUCCGGCUCCGAGCGUAGUAAUUCUUCUCGCUCUGGAGGUCCGGUCGUGUGCUCGCCAGCAACCCCCAAUUUUUUUCAGGUUGACCUCGGAUCAGGUAGGGAUACCCGCUGAACUUAAGCAUAUCAAUAAGCGGAGGA